Molecule: ribosomal RNA, 367 nt
Filed under: uncultured bacterium
Lineage: Bacteria
Description: bacterial SSU rRNA
Rfam family: Bacterial small subunit ribosomal RNA
Source: RNAcentral
AGAGGGUGCAAGCGUUAAUCGGAUUUACUGGGCGUAAAGCGUGUGUAGGUGGUCAGCUAAGUCGGUUGUGAAAUCCCUGGGCUCAACCCGGGAAUUGCAGUCGAUACUGGCAGACUCGAGUUCGGUAGAGGGSGACGGAAUUCCCGGUGUAGCGGUGAAAUGCGUAGAUAUCGGGAGGAACAUCGAUGGSGAAGGCAAUCGCCUGGGCCUGAACUGACACUGAGACACGAAAGCGUGGGUAGCAAACAGGAUUAGAUACCCUGGUAGUCCACGCCGUAAACGAUGGGAACCUGACGUCGGUUUGCUCUGCGAAUCGGUGUCGUAGCUAACGCGCUAAGUUCCCCGCCUGGGGAGUACGGCCGCAAGG